This 14179-nucleotide long non-coding RNA is filed under the name Xyrichtys novacula (pearly razorfish). Lineage: Eukaryota; Metazoa; Chordata; Actinopteri; Labriformes; Labridae. The record is from RNAcentral.
GGAGUUAGGGUUCAGUGUUGGAGCUAGAAAAAAUCCUGGGCUCCAGGCCCCUAGGAUUUUUCUAGCUCCAACCCUAACCAACUCCCUAACCUCUAGGACAUUCCUAAAAAAAUUUGAGUUUUUCCCAUAGGAAUGCAUGGGUUAGGGUUAGGGUUAGGGUUGGAGCUAGGGUUAGGGUUAGGGUUAGGGUUGGAGUUAGGGUUAGUGUUGGAGCUAGGGUUAGGGUUGGGCUUGGAGCUAGGAUUUUUCUGAGUGCACUGAACCAACUCCCGAGUCUCUAGGACAUUCCUAAAAAAAUUUGAUUUUUCCCAUAGGAAUGCAUGGGUUAGGGUUAUGGUUAGGGUUAGGGUUGGAGCUAGGGUUAGGGUUAGGGUUAGGGUUGGAGUUAGGGUUAGUGUUGGAGCUAGGGUUAGGGUUGGGCUUGGAGCUAGGAUUUUUCUGAGUGCACUGAACCAACUCCCGAGUCUCUAGGACAUUCCUAAAAAAAUUUGAUUUUUUCCCAUAGGAAUGCAUGGGUUAGGGUUAUGGUUAGGGUUAGGGUUGGAGCUAGGGUUAGGGUUAGGGUUAGGGUUGGAGUUAGGGUUAGUGUUGGAGCUAGGGUUAGGGUUGGGCUUGGAGCUAGGAUUUUUCUGAGUGCACUGAACCAACUCCCGAGUCUCUAGGACAUUCCUAAAAAAAUUUGAUUUUUUCCCAUAGGAAUGCAUGGGUUAGGGUUAUGGUUAGGGUUAGGGUUGGAGCUAGGGUUAGGGUUAGGGUUAGGGUUGGAGUUAGGGUUAGUGUUGGAGCUAGGGUUAGGGUUGGGCUUGGAGCUAGGAUUUUUCUGAGUGCACUGAACCAACUCCCGAGUCUCUAGGACAUUCCUAAAAAAAUUUGAUUUUUUCCCAUAGGAAUGCAUGGGUUAGGGUUAUGGUUAGGGUUAGGGUUGGAGCUAGGGUUAGGGUUAGGGUUAGGGUUGGAGUUAGGGUUAGUGUUGGAGCUAGGGUUAGGGUUGGGCUUGGAGCUAGGAUUUUUCUGAGUGCACUGAACCAACUCCCGAGUCUCUAGGACGUUCCUAAAAAAAUUUGAUUUUUUCCCAUAGGAAUGCAUGGGUUAGGGUUAGGGUUAGGGUUGGAGCUAGGGUUAGGGUUAGGGUUAGGGUUGGAGUUAGGGUUAGUGUUGGAGCUCAGGGUUGGGCUUGGAGCUAGGAUUUUUCUGAGUGCACUGAACCAACUCCCGAGUCUCUAGGACAUUCCUAAAAAAUUUGAUUUUUUCCCAUAGGAAUGCAUGGGUUAGGGUUAGGGUUAGGGUUGGAGCUAGGGUUAGGGUUAGGGUUAGGGUUGGAGUUAGGGUUAGUGUUGGAGCUAGGGUUAGGGUUGGGCUUGGAGCUAGGAUUUUUCUGAGUGCACUGAACCAACUCCCGAGUCUCUAGGACAUUCCUAAAAAAAUUUGAUUUUUUCCCAUAGGAAUGCAUGGGUUAGGGUUAUGGUUAGGGUUAGGGUUGGAGCUAGGGUUAGGGUUAGGGUUAGGGUUGGAGUUAGGGUUAGUGUUGGAGCUAGGGUUAGGGUUGGGCUUGGAGCUAGGAUUUUUCUGAGUGCACUGAACCAACUCCCGAGUCUCUAGGACAUUCCUAAAAAAUUUGAUUUUUUCCCAUAGGAAUGCAUGGGUUAGGGUUAUGGUUAGGGUUAGGGUUGGAGCUAGGGUUAGGGUUAGGGUUAGGGUUGGAGUUAGGGUUAGUGUUGGAGCUAGGGUUAGGGUUGGGCUUGGAGCUAGGAUUUUUCUGAGUGCACUGAACCAACUCCCGAGUCUCUAGGACAUUCCUAAAAAAAUUUGAUUUUUUCCCAUAGGAAUGCAUGGGUUAGGUUAUGGUUAGGGUUAGGGUUGGAGCUAGGGUUAGGGUUAGGGUUAGGGUUGGAGUUAGGGUUAGUGUUGGAGCUAGGGUUAGGGUUGGGCUUGGAGCUAGGAUUUUUCUGAGUGCACUGAACCAACUCCCGAGUCUCUAGGACAUUCCUAAAAAAAUUUGAUUUUUUCCCAUAGGAAUGCAUGGGUUAGGGUUAUGGUUAGGGUUAGGGUUGGAGCUAGGGUUAGGGUUAGGGUUAGGGUUGGAGUUAGGGUUAGUGUUGGAGCUAGGGUUAGGGUUGGGCUUGGAGCUAGGAUUUUUCUGAGUGCACUGAACCAACUCCCGAGUCUCUAGGACAUUCCUAAAAAAAUUUGAUUUUUUCCCAUAGGAAUGCAUGGGUUAGGGUUAGGGUUAGGGUUGGAGCUAGGGUUAGGGUUAGGGUUAGGGUUGGAGUUAGGGUUAGUGUUGGAGCUAGGGUUAGGGUUGGGCUUGGAGCUAGGAUUUUUCUGAGUGCACUGAACCAACUCCCGAGUCUCUAGGACAUUCCUAAAAAAAUUUGAUUUUUUCCCAUAGGAAUGCAUGGGUUAGGGUUAGGGUUAGGAGCUAGGGUUAGGGUUAGGGUUAGGGUUGGAGUUAGGGUUAGUGUUGGAGCUAGGGUUAGGGUUGGGCUUGGAGCUAGGAUUUUUCUGAGUGCACUGAACCAACUCCCGAGUCUCUAGGACAUUCCUAAAAAAUUUGAUUUUUUCCCAUAGGAAUGCAUGGGUUAGGGUUAUGGUUAGGGUUAGGGUUGGAGCUAGGGUUAGGGUUAGGGUUAGGGUUGGAGUUAGGGUUAGUGUUGGAGCUAGGGUUAGGGUUGGGCUUGGAGCUAGGAUUUUUCUGAGUGCACUGAACCAACUCCCGAGUCUCUAGGACAUUCCUAAAAAAAUUUGAUUUUUUCCCAUAGGAAUGCAUGGGUUAGGGUUAUGGUUAGGGUUAGGGUUGGAGCUAGGGUUAGGGUUAGGGUUAGGGUUGGAGUUAGGGUUAGUGUUGGAGCUAGGGUUAGGGUUGGGCUUGGAGCUAGGAUUUUUCUGAGUGCACUGAACCAACUCCCGAGUCUCUAGGACGUUCCUAAAAAAAUUUGAUUUUUUCCCAUAGGAAUGCAUGGGUUAGGGUUAGGGUUAGGGUUGGAGCUAGGGUUAGGGUUAGGGUUAGGGUUGGAGUUAGGGUUAGUGUUGGAGCUAGGGUUAGGGUUGGGCUUGGAGCUAGGAUUUUUCUGAGUGCACUGAACCAACUCCCGAGUCUCUAGGACAUUCCUAAAAAAAUUUGAUUUUUUCCCAUAGGAAUGCAUGGUUAGGGUUAUGGUUAGGGUUAGGGUUGGAGCUAGGGUUAGGGUUAGGGUUAGGGUUGGAGUUAGGGUUAGUGUUGGAGCUAGGGUUAGGGUUGGGCUUGGAGCUAGGAUUUUUCUGAGUGCACUGAACCAACUCCCGAGUCUCUAGGACAUUCCUAAAAAAAUUUGAUUUUUUCCCAUAGGAAUGCAUGGGUUAGGGUUAGGGUUAGGGUUGGAGCUAGGGUUAGGGUUAGGGUUAGGGUUGGAGUUAGGGUUAGUGUUGGAGCUAGGGUUAGGGUUGGGCUUGGAGCUAGGAUUUUUCUGAGUGCACUGAACCAACUCCCGAGUCUCUAGGACAUUCCUAAAAAAAUUUGAUUUUUUCCCAUAGGAAUGCAUGGGUUAGGGUUAUGGUUAGGGUUAGGGUUGGAGCUAGGGUUAGGGUUAGGGUUAGGGUUGGAGUUAGGGUUAGUGUUGGAGCUAGGGUUAGGGUUGGGCUUGGAGCUAGGAUUUUUCUGAGUGCACUGAACCAACUCCCGAGUCUCUAGGACAUUCCUAAAAAAAUUUGAUUAUUUCCCAUAGGAAUGCAUGGGUUAGGGUUAGGGUUAGGGUUGGAGCUAGGGUUAGGGUUAGGGUUAGGGUUGGAGUUAGGGUUAGUGUUGGAGCUAGGGUUAGGGUUGGGCUUGGAGCUAGGAUUUUUCUGAGUGCACUGAACCAACUCCCGAGUCUCUAGGAUGUUCCUAAAAAAAUUUGAUUUUUUCCCAUAGGAAUGCAUGGGUUAGGGUUAUGGUUAGGGUUAGGGUUGGAGCUAGGGUUAGGGUUAGGGUUGGAGUUAGGGUUAGUGUUGGAGCUAGGGUUAGGGUUGGGCUUGGAGCUAGGAUUUUUCUGAGUGCAAUGAACCAACUCCCGAGUCUCUAGGACGUUCCUAAAAAAUUUGAUUUUUUCCCAUAGGAAUGCAUGGGUUAGGGUUAGGGUUAGGGUUGGAGCUUGGGUUAGGGUUAGGGUUAGGGUUGGAGUUAGGGUUAGUGUUGGAGCUAGGGUUAGGGUUGGGCUUGGAGCUAGGAUUUUUCUGAGUGCACUGAACCAACUCCCGAGUCUCUAGGACGUUCCUAAAAAAAUUUGAUUUUUUCCCAUAGGAAUGCAUGGGUUAGGGUUAGGGUUAGGGUUGGAGCUAGGGUUAGGGUUAGGGUUAGGGUUGGAGUUAGGGUUAGUGUUGGAGCUAGGGUUAGGGUUGGGCUUGGAGCUAGGAUUUUUCUGAGUGCACUGAACCAACUCCCGAGUCUCUAGGACAUUCCUAAAAAAAUUUGAUUUUUUCCCAUAGGAAUGCAUGGGUUAGGGUUAGGGUUAGGGUUGGAGCUAGGGUUAGGGUUAGGGUUAGGGUUGGAGUUAGGGUUAGUGUUGGAGCUAGGGUUAGGGUUGGGCUUGGAGCUAGGAUUUUUCUGAGUGCACUGAACCAACUCCCGAGUCUCUAGGACAUUCCUAAAAAAAUUUGAUUUUUUCCCAUAGGAAUGCAUGGGUUAGGGUUAUGGUUAGGGUUAGGGUUGGAGCUAGGGUUAGGGUUAGGGUUAGGGUUAGGGUUAGGGUUAGUUAGGUUAGUGUUGGAGCUAGGGUUAGGGUUGGGCUUGGAGCUAGGAUUUUUCUGAGUGCACUGAACCAACUCCCGAGUCUCUAGGACAUUCCUAAAAAAAUUUGAUUUUUUCCCAUAGGAAUGCAUGGGUUAGGGUUAGGGUUAGGGUUGGAGCUAGGGUUAGGGUUAGGGUUAGGGUUGGAGUUAGGGUUAGUGUUGGAGCUAGGGUUAGGGUUGGGCUUGGAGCUAGGAUUUUUCUGAGUGCACUGAACCAACUCCCGAGUCUCUAGGACGUUCCUAAAAAAAUUUGAUUUUUUCCCAUAGGAAUGCAUGGGUUAGGGUUAUGGUUAGGGUUAGGGUUGGAGCUAGGGUUAGGGUUAGGGUUAGGGUUGGAGUUAGGGUUAGUGUUGGAGCUAGGGUUAGGGUUGGGCUUGGAGCUAGGAUUUUUCUGAGUGCACUGAACCAACUCCCGAGUCUCUAGGACGUUCCUAAAAAAAUUUGAUUUUUUCCCAUAGGAAUGCAUGGGUUAGGGUUAGGGUUAGGGUUGGAGCUAGGGUUAGGGUUAGGGUUAGGGUUGGAGUUAGGGUUAGUGUUGGAGCUAGGGUUAGGGUUGGGCUUGGAGCUAGGAUUUUUCUGAGUGCACUGAACCAACUCCCGAGUCUCUAGGACGUUCCUAAAAAAAUUUGAUUUUUUCCCAUAGGAAUGCAUGGGUUAGGGUUAGGGUUAGGGUUGGAGCUAGGGUUAGGGUUAGGGUUAGGGUUGGAGUUAGGGUUAGUGUUGGAGCUAGGGUUAGGGUUGGGCUUGGAGCUAGGAUUUUUCUGAGUGCACUGAACCAACUCCCGAGUCUCUAGGACGUUCCUAAAAAAAUUUGAUUUUUUCCCAUAGGAAUGCAUGGGUUAGGGUUAGGGUUAGGGUUGGAGCUAGGGUUAGGGUUAGGGUUAGGGUUGGAGUUAGGGUUAGUGUUGGAGCUAGGGUUAGGGUUGGGCUUGGAGCUAGGAUUUUUCUGAGUGCACUGAACCAACUCCCGAGUCUCUAGGACAUUCCUAAAAAAAUUUGAUUUUUUCCCAUAGGAAUGCAUGGUUUAGGGUUAUGGUUAGGGUUAGGGUUGGAGCUAGGGUUAGGGUUAGGGUUAGGGUUGGAGUUAGGGUUAGUGUUGGAGCUAGGGUUAGGGUUGGGCUUGGAGCUAGGAUUUUUCUGAGUGCAAUGAACCAACUCCCGAGUCUCUAGGACAUUCCUAAAAAAAUUUGAUUUUUUCCCAUAGGAAUGCAUGGGUUAGGGUUAGGGUUAGGGUUGGAGCUAGGGUUAGGGUUAGGGUUAGGGUUGGAGUUAGGGUUAGUGUUGGAGCUAGGGUUAGGGUUGGGCUUGGAGCUAGGAUUUUUCUGAGUGCACUGAACCAACUCCCGAGUCUCUAGGACAUUCCUAAAAAAAUUUGAUUUUUUCCCAUAGGAAUGCAUGGGUUAGGGUUAUGGUUAGGGUUAGGGUUGGAGCUAGGGUUAGGGUUAGGGUUAGGGUUGGAGUUAGGGUUAGUGUUGGAGCUAGGGUUAGGGUUGGGCUUGGAGCUAGGAUUUUUCUGAGUGCACUGAACCAACUCCCGAGUCUCUAGGACAUUCCUAAAAAAUUUGAUUUUUUCCCAUAGGAAUGCAUGGGUUAGGGUUAGGGUUAGGGAUUGGAGCUAGGGUUAGGGUUGGGCUUGGAGCUAGGAUUUUUCUGAGUGCACUGAACCAACUCCCGAGUCUCUAGGACGUUCCUAAAAAAAUUUGAUUUUUUCCCAUAGGAAUGCAUGGGUUAGGGUUAUGGUUAGGGUUAGGGUUGGAGCUAGGGUUAGGGUUAGGGUUAGGGUUGGAGUUAGGGUUAGUGUUGGAGCUAGGGUUAGGGUUGGGCUUGGAGCUAGGAUUUUUCUGAGUGCAAUGAACCAACUCCCGAGUCUCUAGGACGUUCCUAAAAAAAUUUGAUUUUUUCCCAUAGGAAUGCAUGGGUUAGGGUUAGGGUUAGGGUUGGAGCUAGGGUUAGGGUUAGGGUUAGGGUUGGAGUUAGGGUUAGUGUUGGAGCUAGGGUUAGGGUUGGGCUUGGAGCUAGGAUUUUUCUGAGUGCACUGAACCAACUCCCGAGUCUCUAGGACAUUCCUAAAAAAUUUGAUUUUUUCCCAUAGGAAUGCAUGGUUAGGGUUAUGGUUAGGGUUAGGGUUGGAGCUAGGGUUAGGGUUAGGGUUAGGGUUGGAGUUAGGGUUAGUGUUGGAGCUAAGGGUUAGGGUUGGGCUUGGAGCUAGGAUUUUUCUGAGUGCAAUGAACCAACUCCCGAGUCUCUAGGACGUUCCCUAAAAAAAUUUGAUUUUUUCCCAUAGGAAUGCAUGGGUUAGGGUUAGGGUUAGGGUUGGAGCUAGGGUUAGGGUUAGGGUUAGGGUUGGAGUUAGGGUUAGUGUUGGAGCUAGGGUUAGGGUUGGGCUUGGAGCUAGGAUUUUUCUGAGUGCACUGAACCAACUCCCGAGUCUCUAGGACAUUCCUAAAAAAAUUUGAUUUUUUCCCAUAGGAAUGCAUGGGUUAGGGUUAUGGUUAGGGUUAGGGUUGGAGCUAGGGUUAGGGUUAGGGUUAGGGUUGGAGUUAGGGUUAGUGUUGGAGCUAGGGUUAGGGUUGGGCUUGGAGCUAGGAUUUUUCUGAGUGCACUGAACCAACUCCCGAGUCUCUAGGACAUUCCUAAAAAAAUUUGAUUUUUUCCCAUAGGAAUGCAUGGGUUAGGGUUAUGGUUAGGGUUAGGGUUGGAGCUAGGGUUAGGGUUAGGGUUAGGGUUGGAGUUAGGGUUAGUGUUGGAGCUAGGGUUAGGGUUGGGCUUGGAGCUAGGAUUUUUCUGAGUGCACUGAACCAACUCCCGAGUCUCUAGGACGUUCCUAAAAAAAUUUGAUUUUUUCCCAUAGGAAUGCAUGGGUUAGGGUUAGGGUUAGGGUUGGAGCUAGGGUUAGGGUAGGGUUAGGGUUAGGGUUGGAGUUAGGGUUAGUGUUGGAGCUAGGGUUAGGGUUGGGCUUGGAGCUAGGAUUUUUCUGAGUGCACUGAACCAACUCCCGAGUCUCUAGGACAUUCCUAAAAAAAUUUGAUUUUUUCCCAUAGGAAUGCAUGGGUUAGGGUUAGGGUUAGGGUUGGAGCUAGGGUUAGGGUUAGGGUUAGGGUUGGAGUUAGGGUUAGUGUUGGAGCUAGGGUUAGGGUUGGGCUUGGAGCUAGGAUUUUUCUGAGUGCACUGAACCAACUCCCGAGUCUCUAGGACGUUCCUAAAAAAAUUUGAUUUUUUCCCAUAGGAAUGCAUGGGUUAGGGUUAGGGUUAGGGUUGGAGCUAGGGUUAGGGUUAGGGUUAGGGUUGGAGUUAGGGUUAGUGUUGGAGCUAGGGUUAGGGUUGGGCUUGGAGCUAGGAUUUUUCUGAGUGCACUGAACCAACUCCCGAGUCUCUAGGACAUUCCUAAAAAAUUUGAUUUUUUCCCAUAGGAAUGCAUGGGUUAGGGUUAGGGAUAGGGUUGGAGCUAGGGUUAGGGUUAGGGUUAGGGUUAGGGUUGGAGCUAGGGUUAGGGUUAGGGUUAGGGUUGGAGUUAGGGUUAGUGUUGGAGCUAGGGUUAGGGUUGGGCUUGGAGCUAGGAUUUUUCUGAGUGCAAUGAACCAACUCCCGAGUCUCUAGGACGUUCCUAAAAAAAUUUGAUUUUUUCCCAUAGGAAUGCAUGGGUUAGGGUUAGGGUUAGGGUUGGAGCUAGGGUUAGGGUUAGGGUUAGGGUUGGAGUUAGGGUUAGUGUUGGAGCUAGGGUUAGGGUUGGGCUUGGAGCUAGGAUUUGUCUGAGUGCACUGAACCAACUCCCGAGUCUCUAGGACAUUCCUAAAAAAAUUUGAUUUUUUCCCAUAGGAAUGCAUGGGUUAGGGUUAUGGUUAGGGUUAGGGUUGGAGCUAGGGUUAGGGUUAGGGUUAGGGUUGGAGUUAGGGUUAGUGUUGGAGCUAGGGUUAGGGUUGGGCUUGGAGCUAGGAUUUUUCUGAGUGCACUGAACCAACUCCCGAGUCUCUAGGACGUUCCUAAAAAAAUUUGAUUUUUUCCCAUAGGAAUGCAUGGGUUAGGGUUAGGGUUAGGGUUGGAGCUAGGGUUAGGGUUAGGGUUAGGGUUGGAGUUAGGGUUAGUGUUGGAGCUAGGGUUAGGGUUGGGCUUGGAGCUAGGAUUUUUCUGAGUGCACUGAACCAACUCCCGAGUCUCUAGGACAUUCCUAAAAAAAUUUGAUUUUUUCCCAUAGGAAUGCAUGGGUUAGGGUUAUGGGUUAGGGUUAGGGUUGGAGCUAGGGUUAGGGUUAGGGUUAGGGUUGGAGUUAGGGUUAGUGUUGGAGCUAGGGUUAGGGUUGGGCUUGGAGCUAGGAUUUUUCUGAGUGCACUGAACCAACUCCCGAGUCUCUAGGACAUUCCUAAAAAAAUUUGAUUUUUUCCCAUAGGAAUGCAUGGGUUAGGGUUAGGGUUAGGGUUGGAGCUAGGGUUAGGGUUAGGGUUAGGGUUGGAGUUAGGGUUAGUGUUGGAGCUAGGGUUAGGGUUGGGCUUGGAGCUAGGAUUUUUCUGAGUGCACUGAACCAACUCCCGAGUCUCUAGGACAUUCCUAAAAAAAUUUGAUUUUUUCCCAUAGGAAUGCAUGGGUUAGGGUUAGGGUUAGGGUUGGAGCUAGGGUUAGGGUUAGGGUUAGGGUUGGAGUUAGGGUUAGUGUUGGAGCUAGGGUUAGGGUUGGGCUUGGAGCUAGGAUUUUUCUGAGUGCACUGAACCAACUCCCGAGUCUCUAGGACAUUCCUAAAAAAAUUUGAUUUUUUCCCAUAGGAAUGCAUGGGUUAGGGUUAUGGUUAGGGUUAGGGUUGGAGCUAGGGUUAGGGUUAGGGUUAGGGUUGGAGUUAGGGUUAGUGUUGGAGCUAGGGUUAGGGUUGGGCUUGGAGCUAGGAUUUUUCUGAGUGCACUGAACCAACUCCCGAGUCUCUAGGACAUUCCUAAAAAAAUUUGAUUUUUUCCCAUAGGAAUGCAUGGGUUAGGGUUAUGGUUAGGGUUAGGGUUGGAGCUAGGGUUAGGGUUAGGGUUAGGGUUGGAGUUAGGGUUAGUGUUGGAGCUAGGGUUAGGGUUGGGCUUGGAGCUAGGAUUUUUCUGAGUGCACUGAACCAACUCCCGAGUCUCUAGGACAUUCCUAAAAAAAUUUGAUUUUUUCCCAUAGGAAUGCAUGGGUUAGGGUUAUGGUUAGGGUUAGGGUUGGAGCUAGGGUUAGGGUUAGGGUUAGGGUUGGAGUUAGGGUUAGUGUUGGAGCUAGGGUUAGGGUUGGGCUUGGAGCUAGGAUUUUUCUGAGUGCACUGAACCAACUCCCGAGUCUCUAGGACAUUCCUAAAAAAAUUUGAUUUUUUCCCAUAGGAAUGCAUGGGUUAGGGUUAUGGUUAGGGUUAGGGUUGGAGCUAGGGUUAGGGUUAGGGUUAGGGUUGGAGUUAGGGUUAGUGUUGGAGCUAGGGUUAGGGUUGGGCUUGGAGCUAGGAUUUUUCUGAGUGCACUGAACCAACUCCCGAGUCUCUAGGACAUUCCUAAAAAAAUUUGAUUUUUUCCCAUAGGAAUGCAUGGGUUAGGGUUAGGGGGUUAGGGUUGGAGCUAGGGUUAGGGUUAGGGUUAGGGUUGGAGUUAGGGUUAGUGUUGGAGCUAGGGUUAGGGUUGGGCUUGGAGCUAGGAUUUUUCUGAGUGCACUGAACCAACUCCCGAGUCUCUAGGACAUUCCUAAAAAAAUUUGAUUUUUUCCCAUAGGAAUGCAUGGGUUAGGGUUAUGGUUAGGGUUAGGGUUGGAGCUAGGGUUAGGGUUAGGGUUAGGGUUGGAGUUAGGGUUAGUGUUGGAGCUAGGGUUAGGGUUGGGCUUGGAGCUAGGAUUUUUCUGAGUGCACUGAACCAACUCCCGAGUCUCUAGGACAUUCCUAAAAAAAUUUGAUUUUUUCCCAUAGGAAUGCAUGGGUUAGGGUUAUGGUUAGGGUUAGGGUUGGAGCUAGGGUUAGGGUUAGGGUUAGGGUUGGAGUUAGGGUUAGUGUUGGAGCUAGGGUUAGGGUUGGGCUUGGAGCUAGGAUUUUUCUGAGUGCACUGAACCAACUCCCGAGUCUCUAGGACAUUCCUAAAAAAAUUUGAUUUUUUCCCAUAGGAAUGCAUGGGUUAGGGUUAGGUUAGGGUUAGGGUUGGAGCUAGGGUUAGGGUUAGGGUUAGGGUUGGAGUUAGGGUUAGUGUUGGAGCUAGGGUUAGGGUUGGGCUUGGAGCUAGGAUUUUUCUGAGUGCACUGAACCAACUCCCGAGUCUCUAGGACAUUCCUAAAAAAAUUUGAUUUUUUCCCAUAGGAAUGCAUGGGUUAGGGUUAUGGUUAGGGUUAGGGUUGGAGCUAGGGUUAGGGUUAGGGUUAGGGUUGGAGUUAGGGUUAGUGUUGGAGCUAGGGUUAGGGUUGGGCUUGGAGCUAGGAUUUUUCUGAGUGCACUGAACCAACUCCCGAGUCUCUAGGACGUUCCUAAAAAAAUUUGUUUUUUUCCCAUAGGAAUGCAUGGGUUAGGGUUAGGGUUAGGGUUGGAGCUAGGGUUAGGGUUAGGGUUAGGGUUGGAGUUAGGGUUAGUGUUGGAGCUAGGGUUAGGGUUGGGCUUGGAGCUAGGAUUUUUCUGAGUGCACUGAACCAACUCCCGAGUCUCUAGGACAUUCCUAAAAAAAUUUGAUUUUUUCCCAUAGGAAUGCAUGGGUUAGGGUUAUGGUUAGGGUUAGGGUUGGAGCUAGGGUUAGGGUUAGGGUUAGGGUUGGAGUUAGGGUUAGUGUUGGAGCUAGGGUUAGGGUUGGGCUUGGAGCUAGGAUUUUUCUGAGUGCACUGAACCAACUCCCGAGUCUCUAGGACAUUCCUAAAAAAAUUUGAUUUUUUCCCAUAGGAAUGCAUGGGUUAGGGUUAUGGUUAGGGUUAGGGUUGGAGCUAGGGUUAGGGUUAGGGUUAGGGUUGGAGUUAGGGUUAGUGUUGGAGCUAGGGUUAGGGUUGGGCUUGGAGCUAGGAUUUUUCUGAGUGCACUGAACCAACUCCCGAGUCUCUAGGACAUUCCUAAAAAAAUUUGAUUUUUUCCCAUAGGAAUGCAUGGGUUAGGGUUAUGGUUAGGGUUAGGGUUGGAGCUAGGGUUAGGGUUAGGGUUAGGGUUGGAGUUAGGGUUAGUGUUGGAGCUAGGGUUAGGGUUGGGCUUGGAGCUAGGAUUUUUCUGAGUGCACUGAACCAACUCCCGAGUCUCUAGGACAUUCCUAAAAAAAUUUGAUUUUUUCCCAUAGGAAUGCAUGGGUUAGGGUUAUGGUUAGGGUUAGGGUUGGAGCUAGGGUUAGGGUUAGGGUUAGGGUUGGAGUUAGGGUUAGUGUUGGAGCUAGGGUUAGGGUUGGGCUUGGAGCUAGGAUUUUUCUGAGUGCACUGAACCAACUCCCGAGUCUCUAGGACGUUCCUAAAAAAAUUUGAUUUUUUCCCAUAGGAAUGCAUGGGUUAGGGUUAGGGUUAGGGUUGGAGCUAGGGUUAGGGUUAGGGUUAGGGUUGGAGUUAGGGUUAGUGUUGGAGCUAGGGUUAGGGUUGGGCUUGGAGCUAGGAUUUUUCUGAGUGCACUGAACCAACUCCCGAGUCUCUAGGACAUUCCUAAAAAAAUUUGAUUUUUUCCCAUAGGAAUGCAUGGGUUAGGGUUAGGGUUAGGGUUGGAGCUAGGGUUAGGGUUAGGGUUAGGGUUGGAGUUAGGGUUAGUGUUGGAGCUAGGGUUAGGGUUGGGCUUGGAGCUAGGAUUUUUCUGAGUGCACUGAACCAACUCCCGAGUCUCUAGGACAUUCCUAAAAAAAUUUGAUUUUUUCCCAUAGGAAUGCAUGGGUUAGGGUUAUGGUUAGGGUUAGGGUUGGAGCUAGGGUUAGGGUUAGGGUUAGGGUUGGAGUUAGGGUUAGUGUUGGAGCUAGGGUUAGGGUUGGGCUUGGAGCUAGGAUUUUUCUGAGUGCACUGAACCAACUCCCGAGUCUCUAGGACAUUCCUAAAAAAAUUUGAUUUUUUCCCAUAGGAAUGCAUGGGUUAGGGUUAUGGUUAGGGUUAGGGUUGGAGCUAGGGUUAGGGUUAGGGUUAGGGUUGGAGUUAGGGUUAGUGUUGGAGCUAGGGUUAGGGUUGGGCUUGGAGCUAGGAUUUUUCUGAGUGCACUGAACCAACUCCCGAGUCUCUAGGACAUUCCUAAAAAAAUUUGAUUUUUUCCCAUAGGAAUGCAUGGGUUAGGGUUAGGGUUAGGGUUAGGGUUGGAGCUAGGGUUAGGGUUAGGGUUAGGGUUGGAGUUAGGGUUAGUGUUGGAGCUAGGGUUAGGGUUGGGCUUGGAGCUAGGAUUUUUCUGAGUGCACUGAACCAACUCCCGAGUCUCUAGGACAUUCCUAAAAAAAUUUGAUUUUUUCCCAUAGGAAUGCAUGGGUUAGGGUUAGGUUAGGGUUAGGGUUGGAGCUAGGGUUAGGGUUAGGGUUAGGGUUGGAGUUAGGGUUAGUGUUGGAGCUAGGGUUAGGGUUGGGCUUGGAGCUAGGAUUUUUCUGAGUGCACUGAACCAACUCCCGAGUCUCUAGGACAUUCCUAAAAAAAUUUGAUUUUUUCCCAUAGGAAUGCAUGGGUUAGGGUUAUGGUUAGGGUUAGGGUUGGAGCUAGGGUUAGGGUUAGGGUUAGGGUUGGAGUUAGGGUUAGUGUUGGAGCUAGGGUUAGGGUUGGGCUUGGAGCUAGGAUUUUUCUGAGUGCACUGAACCAACUCCCGAGUCUCUAGGACAUUCCUAAAAAAAUUUGAUUUUUUCCCAUAGGAAUGCAUGGGUUAGGGUUAGGGGUUAGGGUUGGAGCUAGGGUUAGGGUUAGGGUUAGGGUUGGAGUUAGGGUUAGUGUUGGAGCUAGGGUUAGGGUUGGGCUUGGAGCUAGGAUUUUUCUGAGUGCACUGAACCAACUCCCGAGUCUCUAGGACAUUCCUAAAAAAAUUUGAUUUUUUCCCAUAGGAAUGCAUGGGUUAGGGUUAUGGUUAGGGUUAGGGUUGGAGCUAGGGUUAGGGUUAGGGUUAGGGUUGGAGUUAGGGUUAGUGUUGGAGCUAGGGUUAGGGUUGGGCUUGGAGCUAGGAUUUUUCUGAGUGCACUGAACCAACUCCCGAGUCUCUAGGACAUUCCUAAAAAAAUUUGAUUUUUUCCCAUAGGAAUGCAUGGGUUAGGGUUAUGGUUAGGGUUAGGGUUGGAGCUAGGGUUAGGGUUAGGGUUAGGGUUGGAGUUAGGGUUAGUGUUGGAGCUAGGGUUAGGGUUGGGCUUGGAGCUAGGAUUUUUCUGAGUGCACUGAACCAACUCCCGAGUCUCUAGGACAUUCCUAAAAAAUUUGAUUUUUUCCCAUAGGAAUGCAUGGGUUAGGGUUAUGGUUAGGGUUAGGGUUGGAGCUAGGGUUAGGGUUAGGGUUAGGGUUGGAGUUAGGGUUAGUGUUGGAGCUAGGGUUAGGGUUGGGCUUGGAGCUAGGAUUUUUCUGA